RNAcentral lists this long non-coding RNA (1239 nucleotides) under Anas platyrhynchos platyrhynchos (common mallard). RNAcentral describes it as "lncRNA (ENSAPLG00000020261.1)". Lineage: Eukaryota; Metazoa; Chordata; Aves; Anseriformes; Anatidae. The record is from RNAcentral.
UAGGAGUCUAAUUUAUGUUAGUUAAAUUAACAUAAAAGUACAUUUUCAUCUAUUGUAUGCAUGUACAUGGGGUCGGUGUUGGGUCUGGUCUUGUUCAACAUCUUCAUCGAUGACCUUGAUGAGGGAAUAGUGUCUUCCCUCAGCAAGUAUGCUGAUGACACAAAGCUGGGAGGAGUGGCUGACACGCCAGAAGGCUGUGCUGCCAUGCAGCAAGACCUGGACAGGAUGGAGAGAUGGACAGGAAGAAACCAAAUGAGGUUUAACAAGAGCAAGUGUAGAGUCCUGCACCUGGGAAGGAACAACCACAUGUAUCAGUACAGGCUGGGGAAUGACCUGCUGGAGAGGAGCUCUGAGGAGAAGGACCUGGGGGUCCUGGUGGACGACAGGUUGACCAUGAGCCAGCAGUAUGCUCUCGUGGCCAAGAGGGCCAAUGGGAUCCUGGCGUGCAUUAAAAGGAGUGUGGCCAGCAGGUCAAGAGAGGUGAUCCUCUCCCUCUACUCUGCUCUGGUCAGGCCUCACCUGGAGUACUGCGUCCAGUUCUGGGAUCCCCAGUACAAAAAAGACAGGGAUCUCCUGGUAAGAGUCCAGCGGAGGGCCACAAAGAUGAUACGGGGCCUGGAGCAUCUUCCUUAUGAGGAAAGGCUGAGAGACCUGGGUCUGUUCAGCCUGGAGAAAGGAAGACUGAGAGGGGAUCUCAUCAAUGUGUAUAAAUACCUGAGGUGUGGGAGACAGAGGGAUUUGGCCAACCUCUUUUCAGUGGUUUGCAGGGACAGGACAAGGAGUAAUGGCCACAAGAUGGAGAACAGAAAGUUCUGCACCAACAUGCAAAAGAACUUCUUCACAGUGAGGGUGACGGAGCACUGGAACAGGCUGCCCAGGGAGGUUGUGGAGUCUCCUUCUCUGGAGAUAUUUAAGGCCUGUCUGGACGCCCACCUGGGCAGCCUGCUCUAAGGAACCUGCUUUGGCAGGGGGGUUGGACCUGAUAAUCUUUCAAGGUCCCUUCCAACUGCUUCGGUUCUGUGAUUCUGUGAAAUGUGGAUGAAAGUGAAUUUUGGCUUAUUUAAGUUUUAGCCCUUUUUUCUAGGUAUUUGGUGUCAAUCUGACUGUAUUGCCUUGACUAGGCAUGUAUCCUUCUAGCAGCCUUUCAACUUCACAUUAGUCAUUUAAUAUACGUGUAUACACUGAAGAAUUAAAUUAUGAAUAUCUGUUCUGUGAUACAGAUCAUUAUGUAUGUAUUCC